AUUGAACGCUGGCGGCAGGCCUAACACAUGCAAGUCGAGCGGAUGAAGGGAGCUUGCUCCUGGAUUCAGCGGCGGACGGGUGAGUAAUGCCUAGGAAUCUGCCUGGUAGUGGGGGAUAACGUCCGGAAACGGGCGCUAAUACCGCAUACGUCCUGAGGGAGAAAGUGGGGGAUCUUCGGACCUCACGCUAUCAGAUGAGCCUAGGUCGGUUUAGCUAGUUGGUGGGGUAAAGGCCUACCAAGGCGACGAUCCGUAACUGGUCUGAGAGGAUGAUCAGUCACACUGGAACUGAGACACGGUCCAGACUCCUACGGGAGGCAGCAGUGGGGAAUAUUGGACAAUGGGCGAAAGCCUGAUCCAGCCAUGCCGCGUGUGUGAAGAAGGUCUUCGGAUUGUAAAGCACUUUAAGUUGGGAGGAAGGGCAGUAAGUUAAUACCUUGCUGUUUUGACGUUACCAACAGAAUAAGCACCGGCUAACUUCGUGC
RNAcentral lists this ribosomal RNA (485 nucleotides) under uncultured bacterium. Its description in RNAcentral is "partial 16S ribosomal RNA". It matches the Rfam family "Bacterial small subunit ribosomal RNA", at positions 30 to 508 of the family's 1533-position model. The record is from RNAcentral.